RNAcentral lists this signal recognition particle RNA (314 nucleotides) under Thermoplasmatota archaeon. Its description in RNAcentral is "signal recognition particle sRNA". It matches the Rfam family "Archaeal signal recognition particle RNA". Lineage: Archaea; Methanobacteriati; Thermoplasmatota. The record is from RNAcentral.
GUGUAGGAUAAACUGGGGAGAUAGGCGUUCCCUGUUACUGGAAAUCGUCUUUAUGCCAGAGUUGACACAAUGAGGCGGUGUAACGGGCACUGUAUGAUCCUGGUGUCGACGAUGAGACCUUGUCCUUUGGGAUUGGAGGUGAUGAUGUUGUAUGGCUGGAGAGUCAUAUGCUCAUCUUUGUUGCGGGUAUUGGGUCAGGCACGGAAGUGAGCAGCCUUACCGUAAACUGCCAAUGCUCGAAGGGUUCACGGGGUUGAGAAGAUAAUGGGGUAAUCAUAUGGAGCAACGUGCAUCCACUCUGCGGUUUCUUACAC